This 2478-nucleotide ribosomal RNA is filed under the name Triticum aestivum (bread wheat). RNAcentral's name for it is "partial small subunit ribosomal RNA". The record is from RNAcentral. Lineage: Eukaryota; Viridiplantae; Streptophyta; Magnoliopsida; Poales; Poaceae.
AUGGUGCUGCUGUCGCCGGUGAGCCGGGCUGCCGGGGCAAUGUACAACUCCAGCGCCCGGCCCGACAUUAUCAUCAACAACGUCACGGUGUGCGCCACCCCGGCAGCCACGCUGGUGGCCAGCUUCACUGUGUCCGCCGACAUGCGGACCACCGAGCGGCUCAUGGUCACCACCACGGUCCUCAUGACCUUGCUCGGCACCGCCCUCUUCCUCCUUGGAGUUUCGGGACGCCUCUCGGGCCGGGGCCGUGGCCACUCUACCGCCACCCGCAUCUUCUUCCGCGCCUCCUUCGCUCUCUUCCUCCCCUUCAUGUCCUACAUGUUCUCCCAGGCCAAGAGCAAGCCACCCGACACUGGCAACCAGCCCCGCGCGCAGCUCAUUCUCCUCUGGAUGAUCCUCGUCGAGCUCCUCCGCAAGAAGGUCUACGCCAUGGUUGCCCCCGCCACCGAUGCCUUCGCGCGCGGCGUCGGCCGCUACAGCUUCUUUGAUGCCGUCGAGGAGGCUGCACGCAUGGCGUGGAUUGGGUACCUCAUCUACACCUACGUGCAUGGCUUUGGCGUCAAGUCCUUCUUCAUCAUCCUCUGGAUCUUCAGCGUCGUCAAGAUGUGCAAGCGCUCCAUGUGCAUCUACCUUGCUAAGCGCUCCUUCGACCUCGCGAAGAACGCCGCCCUCAUCUCCGGCUACAUGGUGCAGCUCGUCAACGAGCAUCGGCAAUUGCUCCGCGACGACGAACAAGCAGUUGGCGCCGGUAUCAUGAGGGUUUGCAACUACGCGGUCAUGGGAGAGAGACGGCUCAAGAGGGAGGUGACGCCCCAUGGCUUCAAGAUCCAAGAAAAAGAAAUGAACAAAAUUCUCCUUGUAGAUGGAAGUCCAAAUGGGAAGGAAGAGGCCAAAAAGUCCGAGCUGGUCCGGGUAUGUAACAUAUGGGACCUCGCCAAUAGUGACCCCAUCUUCAGGUACAACUUGAGCAGGAAGCACAAGUUGGAGAACAUUUGCCUUGCCGUCGCACUCUUCAAGCUGCUCCGACGAAAGAUGGAGCACUUCCACAUGGCAGAGGCAGACACCCGACAAGCACGCGAUCUCGUCCUCCGGGGCCUCCUCGCCCUCGAGGGGCACGAGGACGAGGUUGCCAACGCUGAGAGGGCUUUCGAGGUGGUGGAACUAGAGCUGAGGUUUCUGGACGAGUACUACCAGGCCAUCAUCCCGUUGGCAUUGUCCAAGCCGGGGCUAUUCAUAGCCAACUUUAUCAUCUCCAUCGUCUUCAUCUUUUUAUACUGCAUCACCGUGCUCCUCGUCACAGGCAAUGGCCACAUCUUCAAGGUGCUAGGCUCCCUCUUUCGGGGGCUCAUCGGCCUGUCCAUCGACAUGGUGGUGCAGUACAAGUGCUUCGUCCACCAAGUGAACUUCCUCUUCGGCAUGGUUUGCUCCUCCUCCGACCUCAUCGUCACCUUCCUCCUCACGCUCACCCUUCUCGCCGUCGAGACAUAUGAAUUCUUGCAGUACGUGAUCUCCGACUGGUUCAUCGUGUCCGUGAUGUACAAGUAUGCCCAAAUGCCCAUGCUCCGACGGCAGGGGCAUCCCGGGCGGGUCGCCAAGGGCACCCUGUGGGCAAAGCACCGCUCCCAUGCCGUCAUCAAGGUCUACCAGGUCACCAUGCUCAAGCUCCACCAUCUCCACCCGCGCUGGGUGUGGAUGCUCGUCUCCCGCCUUCUCAAGAGGCGCCUCGUCGGGCUCCCCGAUGCCAUCGUCACCGGUGACACCAAGGUGGCCAUCGUCAAGGCGUUGAAGGACGUCCUCACCCCAAGCUGUGGCAGGCACUUCAGCAACGGCAUGGCUACGUUGGAAAGGCAAUGCUUCCUCAACCUCAAGUGGGCGUGCGACCCCAAGAUGAGCACAUCAACGAUGAUAGUGGUGUGGCACAUCGCGACAGCCCUGUUUGAGACGAGGGACAAACAGAAGCACCCUCUCCCACCACACGGCCAGGCCGCCCUGACGUUGUCGAGGUACUGCGCAUACUUGGUGGCCUACGAGCCGGGGCUCCUCCCGGACGAUGAGGCAUGGACGGAGAAGGUGUACAAGGACAUCAAGGGGGAGCUCAACAGUUUCUUCCAGAGCUGUUGCAAUACUGGUGACCGCCGUGAGCGUCUGGUGAAGUUCGGUCAAGGAGAAGAGGACGAGGAGAAGUCGGCCAUGGUGAAGGGUGUCAAGCUAGGGAAGCAAUUGGAGAUCACUACCAGUAGCGGUGGGGACUUGCUUGAGGACGAGAGAGUGUGGGGGAUGCUACUCGAGUUCUGGGCGGAACUUCUCGUGUUCGUGGCGCGCAGGCCAUCGACGGGCCCGGAGGCGCACGCCCUGGCGCUGAGCAACGGUGGCGAGUUCAUCACCCACAUCUGGGCCAUGCUCACCCACGCCGGCGUGCAUGUCCCCAAGAACCACCAGGAUGAUCAGGUUCCAUCGUGCAACUGCAAUCCAGUUUGA